This 253-nucleotide ribosomal RNA is filed under the name uncultured bacterium. RNAcentral's name for it is "partial 16S ribosomal RNA". It matches the Rfam family "Bacterial small subunit ribosomal RNA", at positions 524 to 776 of the family's 1533-position model. The record is from RNAcentral.
UACGGGGGGGGCAAGCGUUGUUCGGAAUUCCUGGGCGUAAAGGGCUCGUAGGUGGCCAACUCAGUCAGACGUGAAAUCCCUCGGCUUAACCGGGGAACUGCGUCUGAUACUGGAUGGCUUGAGGUUGGGAGAGGGAUGCGGAAUUCCAGGUGUAGCGGUGAAAUGCGUAGAUAUCUGGAGGAACACCGGUGGCGAAGGCGGCAUCCUGGACCGGUAUUGACGCUGAGGAGCGAAAGCCAGGGGAGCAAACGGG